This 465-nucleotide ribosomal RNA is filed under the name Vreelandella stevensii. RNAcentral's name for it is "partial 16S ribosomal RNA". It matches the Rfam family "Bacterial small subunit ribosomal RNA", at positions 338 to 795 of the family's 1533-position model. Lineage: Bacteria; Pseudomonadati; Pseudomonadota; Gammaproteobacteria; Oceanospirillales; Halomonadaceae. The record is from RNAcentral.
CCUACGGGUGGCUGCAGUGGGGAAUAUUGGACAAUGGGGGCAACCCUGAUCCAGCCAUGCCGCGUGUGUGAAGAAGGCCCUCGGGUUGUAAAGCACUUUCAGUGAGGAAGAACGCCUGGUGGUUUAUACCCAUCAGGAAAGACAUCACUCACAGAAGAAGCACCGGCUAACUCCGUGCCAGCAGCCGCGGUAAUACGGAGGGUGCGAGCGUUAAUCGGAAUUACUGGGCGUAAAGCGCGCGUAGGUGGCUUGAUAAGCCGGUUGUGAAAGCCCCGGGCUCAACCUGGGAACGGCAUCCGGAACUGUCCAGCUAGAGUGCAGGAGAGGAAGGUAGAAUUCCCGGUGUAGCGGUGAAAUGCGUAGAGAUCGGGAGGAAUACCAGUGGCGAAGGCGGCCUUCUGGACUGAAACUGACACUGAGGUGCGAAAGCGUGGGUAGCAAACAGGAUUAGAUACCCGUGUAGUC